GGGCCUUAAGGGGGGUGUGAGAGCUACCUCUGAAAUCUGAGUUACUGUGUUUCAGCUCUUCAGUUUCUUUGUUUGCAGCUCUAUUUUUGCAGUUCCUACGAUUUAGUGACUCUCACACGUUGCAUAUGCUUCGAGUGUUAGGGAGAAAACACUCAGUCCCUUUUCCUAUUCCAUUUAUCGGACUCUCAUUAAUUUCCCUUCCAAUCCCUGAGAUCUUGUGGAGCUAUUAACAGGUUCUAUGUUUACGCUUGUCCAAAUCUCACUUGUUUUAUGAGCUGUUGGUUUAAUAGCUACAAAAUGUUUCAUAGCAUCUAGUGACGAUCCCUGCCGAGUGGAUCUACUUUCGCCUAGCCACCAGAGUCCUGAUUUUGGCUUCUGUCUUUCUAACAGCUAAGGGACCAGUCACUAUUGAAUACAGAUCUGAGGGGCUUUGGAUCCAGAUGGCAGGUGUAGGGAUGAUCUCUCUUCCCAGAGGAGACAAAGUUCCUUGCCUGAUAUUUGGCACAACCCCUGCUGAGCACAAGGAAAAGUUGGUGAGCGCCGAGCACCCUAGCAGGGCCUUCAUGACUGCCAACUUUGAGUUUCAGAGGGCACUUUGUGCUUGCGGAUGCCCUUACGUUCAAAAUGCGGAUUGAACAAGCGUUAAUUCCUCAGUCCUUUCCCCCAGACGGAGCCACACAGAUGGGCUGAUUAAAAUCAUAGGUCUGUGUUAAAGGAAAAUUAUUGCGUUAGAGGAAGCAUUUGGGGAAAGUGGGCGAUGGGUUGGGGAAAACGAUAACAAACAAAAGCAGAUGGAGCGUCUUGCUUGGCAAGAGAUUAUUCCAUUAUUCUUUUAUUAUCUAACUUCUGAAAUGGGAGAACAUAGAAUAAUGGAAGAUACAGAUUUGCCAGUAAUAAAACAUCAGGUUAAACUCCUUCAGGGCCAUAACAACUAAUGGGCUAUUGUUUAGUAGUUUUGCAAAAGCUUGAUCCUCUUUGUCUUCAUUUGUGCUUUGCAGUGGUUUGCUCAGGCAAGGAGCUACCAUGACAUCAUGUGCAAUGUGUCCAGAUCCCUAAAACAAACCCUUCCAAUUAGUACGUUGAAAUGGAGGACACUGGCCACUCCAGCAUUCUCCCUAGAAAACAUUUCACUGGGAGGGCUCUGCUAUCUUUAAGCACACUGGUUCUUUUGUUGGAGAGACUGUUAUUCCCAAAGUAUCUGGGUUUAUGUAAUCCGAAAAGAAUGUAGCUCAAGUAACAAUGAUUUUGAAGUUUAUGUUGCAGAAAGCAUGAUAGUCAGGCAUUUGUCCGAGAUGAUGUAAAGAGAACUUUAAUUAAACUUAAGGAAAUCAAAUUUUAAAAAGGAGGUUAAAAACAGCUUGCGGAUCUUCUGGGGAAUAUAAGGACCCUACCAUUAAAAAGCAAAUGAACCCACUAGUCCAAUGAAUUAUAAACUGGACUCCAGGAAUAGGAGUGCCUUUUGUGAGCACAAUUUUCUUCUAAAACCAUGGAGCAAAAUUACUGACUUCGGCGGCUUUCAAAGAAUGGGAAAAUGAACCAGGGUAAGAGAACAAAGACGAUCAGCACCAAGGCGUGUUUGGGGCAAAGGUCUAAGGUCAGGGUGCUGAAGAAAUUUGGGGUAAUUAUCCACGAGACCCUAGUACCUGGGAGAUUCAUCAUUACACAAGCUCCAGAGGGAGUGGAGUAUCUGUCUUCACAUCACAAUCUGUGAAUCCACUGGAUUAAAAAUGUGGAUCCUCUCGACUCUUUAGGAGCUUUGGGGUUUUAAGAGGUGAUCUGCUACUUUUAGCCUGGUGGCUUGGGUAAGCUACUUCACAUCUCUGAGGCUUGAUUGAUACAUCUUCCAAAUGGAGAUUGUACUCCCCACCUCGUACAUUUUUUGGGAGGAUUGGUAACAGACACAGAGAAAGGAUCUAGCAGAGGGGGUGGCAUAUGGUAGAUGCUCCAUAGAUGGGAUCUUUUCCCUCCCUUCCUUCUGUUCCCCGUUCUGGAAUGGGAACAUGAUAAUAAAAUAUCUGGUUCCAUAGACACAAGGACACUGAUAAAAGUAUUGGCCAUGCCGUGUGGCAUUUACUGUUUUUAAGAGGGUUAGGUAAGAAUUAGGUAUCCAUAAGGUCCCAAAUACUAUGUUAAGAACUAGAGUGUAGUGAUAAAGACAUUAUAAGCACAUGAUUCUACUGUUCUGGGGCUUACAGUCUGGCAGGCAGUGGAAAGAAAUCCCAUUUUAAGUGGUUACGUAGAAAGUUUCCUUCAAAGGGUAGAGGCUGAAGUGUUUUGAGCCCUUAGAGGACCAGGGGGUUUGGGGGAGGGUGGGUCUGCUGGGUUUAGGGUAUGAUCUCAGCAGCAUCAGACACAUCCCUCUACCUCAGGCCACACAGCGCCCUUGAGCAGGCCACCCCAAAUGCCACCAUCCCCUGAGAUCACUGAUGGCCUGGAAGCAGGUGGUGAGGCUCAAAUGAGAAAACAUCUGUGAAAGAGUUUUGGAAUAUAUAAGUCACUAGACAGAGACAGGGCCCUUUUGUCACCUUGGGCUCUCUGCAGGCCUGCACCCUGGGGAGGUCUGACCUCCUGCAGCUGGCUCUGCUCUCUGAGGUACACUCCUGGGGUGGGGGUGGGGGAGGCUCCAGGAGGCCAUUCUGAGACCACUCACGUAUUUCAUAGCAGCCCACAAGCAGACAAAACUGUCAGAAAUAAUGAUAUAUUACUACUUAAAUUCUAAUCAUCCCUAUAGAGCCCCCCACCCUCCUCCCAAUCUAUA
Molecule: long non-coding RNA, 2758 nt
Filed under: Canis lupus familiaris (dog)
Lineage: Eukaryota; Metazoa; Chordata; Mammalia; Carnivora; Canidae
Description: lncRNA (ENSCAFG00845001001.1)
Source: RNAcentral